Silurus meridionalis is the source of this 826-nucleotide long non-coding RNA. RefSeq lists it as uncharacterized. The record is from RefSeq and is a predicted model, not a curated record. Lineage: Eukaryota; Metazoa; Chordata; Actinopteri; Siluriformes; Siluridae. The transcript is spliced from 2 exons.
CUCGUAACUUAUGCUUCGAUUAUAUUGCAGUCUGUGUAUGCGCUGAUGGAACACCUGCAUAUUUGCAGCUUGUUGAUUUUGGAUAAAACUGCAAGUAACAACCUGUGUGUUUAGCGAGCUACUUCUGGUGGGGGUAAUUGCUCACGAGCAUUUCAUCAUUGUGGACUGCAGCAAAAAAGUUACUCCUUAUACAACAUUAAGACUGCACUGUUUGUUCUGCUGCUAUUUUUAUUACUUUGUGACCAUUUGUAUUGGAUUUGUUUGUUUUUGUUUUGUUGCUUCACGCUCAUGUUGGUGGUUUAAAGGAAGGCUAGUUUGAACCGUCACCUAACAGGAGAUGUGCCGUUAACGGCGCAUGUUUAGCCCUACUGGUAAUAGCCACCAGCAGCGUGUUUGUUUGUUUUUCUUUAUUUUCCCUUGAUCUGCGCUCAUCCUAUGAACAGCGUGGAAGAACUCUCAAUAUCUGGUACCUGGGAAGAUUUUUUUGUUCCCUGUUUAAAUGUAUUGAUUUGAGUAUUUAUGGAGAUCUCUUUCAGUUUCCUCCUUGAUUAAUUUGCUGUUUUUGUGAUUUGAUUUGAACUCUGAUUGUUUUCAUUUGUUUGUUUUUAUUUUUUUCCCUUUUGUUUUGUUCUUUUCUUGAACUCUUUGUUGAGCCAUUGUGAGGUUCAUGAGCUUUUGGUUCCAACCUAGCGGAGUUCCUGCCUCUCUGAACCUUUGUGGCCAGUAAAUGGUCCAUACUUUUUAUUCAUGGUUUGAACUUAAUCCAAUGCAAAUUGUUGAAUUUUAUGUGUGUUUUGAUUAAUUGUGUUUUUAUAUUCUUGUUUGU